AAGCCACUAAUUAUUUCUGCAUUAUUGGCAGAGGCAUAGAUAACUGGAGUUGCUAAAGUAAUUGUGAUUGUAGAAAAGUAUGAGCAUCCGAAGUGACUAAGGUGGUCCUUUCUGGUUGAGUACAGGA
Molecule: small nucleolar RNA, 127 nt
Filed under: Nannospalax galili (Upper Galilee mountains blind mole rat)
Lineage: Eukaryota; Metazoa; Chordata; Mammalia; Rodentia; Spalacidae
Source: RNAcentral